UGCCUACGGGGCGCAGCAGUGGGGAAUAUUGCACAAUGGGGGAAACCCUGAUGCAGCGACGCCGCGUGAGUGAAGAAGUAUCUCGGUACGUAAAGCUCUAUCAGCAGGGAAGAAAAAAAGUCUUUGGCUUUGGACGGUACCUGACUAAGAAGCCCCGGCUAACUACGUGCCAGCAGCCGCGGUAAUACGUAGGGGGCAAGCGUUAUCCGGAUUUACUGGGUGUAAAGGGAGCGUAGGCGGCCACGCAAGUCAGAAGUGAAAACCCGGGGCUCAACCCUGGGAGUGCUUUUGAAACUGUGCGGCUG
Molecule: ribosomal RNA, 305 nt
Filed under: uncultured bacterium
Lineage: Bacteria
Description: bacterial SSU rRNA
Rfam family: Bacterial small subunit ribosomal RNA
Source: RNAcentral